This 426-nucleotide ribosomal RNA is filed under the name Fusobacteriota bacterium. Its description in RNAcentral is "Fusobacteria bacterium partial 16S ribosomal RNA". It matches the Rfam family "Bacterial small subunit ribosomal RNA", at positions 355 to 773 of the family's 1533-position model. Lineage: Bacteria; Fusobacteriati; Fusobacteriota. The record is from RNAcentral.
UGGGGAAUCUUCCGCAAUGGACGAAAGUCUGACGGAGCAACGCCGCGUGAGUGAAGACGGCCUUCGGGUUGUAAAGCUCUGUGAUCCGGGACGAAAGAGCCUGAGGUGAAUAGCCUAAGGAAGUGACGGUACCGGAAAAGCAAGCCACGGCUAACUACGUGCCAGCAGCCGCGGUAAUACGUAGGGGGCUAGCGUUGUCCGGAAUCACUGGGCGUAAAGGGUUCGCAGGCGGAAAUGCAAGUCAGGUGUAAAAGGCAGUAGCUUAACUACUGUAAGCAAUUGAAACUGAAUAUCUUGAGAAGAGUAGAGGUAAGUGGAAUUUUUAGUGUAGCGGUGAAAUGCGUAGAUAUUAAAAAGAAUACCGGUGGCGAAGGCGACGUGCUGGGAUCAUUCUGACGCUAAGGAACGAAAGCGUGGGUAGCAAAC